RNAcentral lists this ribosomal RNA (1442 nucleotides) under uncultured organism. RNAcentral describes it as "SSU rRNA". It matches the Rfam family "Bacterial small subunit ribosomal RNA". The record is from RNAcentral.
GCUAGCUACAGGCUUAACACAUGCAAGUCGAGGGGCAGCAUUUUAGUUUGCUUGCAAACUGAAGAUGGCGACCGGCGUACGGGUGAGUAACACGUAUCCAACCUACCGAUAACUCCGGAAUAGCCUUUCGAAAGAAAGAUUAAUACCGGAUAGCAUACGAAUAUCGCAUGAUAUUUUUAUUAAAGAAUUUCGGUUAUCGAUGGGGAUGCGUUCCAUUAGUUUGUUGGCGGGGUAACGGCCCACCAAGACUACGAUGGAUAGGGGUUCUGAGAGGAAGGUCCCCCACAUUGGAACUGAGACACGGUCCAAACUCCUACGGGAGGCAGCAGUGAGGAAUAUUGGUCAAUGGGCGAGAGCCUGAACCAGCCAAGUAGCGUGAAGGAUGAAGGCUCUAUGGGUCGUAAACUUCUUUUAUAUGGGAAUAAAGUUUUCCACGUGUGGAAUUUUGUAUGUACCAUAUGAAUAAGGAUCGGCUAACUCCGUGCCAGCAGCCGCGGUAAUACGGAGGAUCCGAGCGUUAUCCGGAUUUAUUGGGUUUAAAGGGAGCGUAGGUGGAUUGUUAAGUCAGUUGUGAAAGUUUGCGGCUCAACCGUAAAAUUGCAGUUGAAACUGGCAGUCUUGAGUACAGUAGAGGUGGGCGGAAUUCGUGGUGUAGCGGUGAAAUGCUUAGAUAUCACGAAGAACUCCGAUUGCGAAGGCAGCUCACUAGACUGUCACUGACACUGAUGCUCGAAAGUGUGGGUAUCAAACAGGAUUAGAUACCCUGGUAGUCCACACAGUAAACGAUGAAUACUCGCUGUUUGCGAUAUACAGUAAGCGGCCAAGCGAAAGCAUUAAGUAUUCCACCUGGGGAGUACGCCGGCAACGGUGAAACUCAAAGGAAUUGACGGGGGCCCGCACAAGCGGAGGAACAUGUGGUUUAAUUCGAUGAUACGCGAGGAACCUUACCCGGGCUUAAAUUGCAACAGAAUAUAUUGGAAACAGUAUAGCCGUAAGGCUGUUGUGAAGGUGCUGCAUGGUUGUCGUCAGCUCGUGCCGUGAGGUGUCGGCUUAAGUGCCAUAACGAGCGCAACCCUUAUCUUUAGUUACUAACAGGUUAUGCUGAGGACUCUAGAGAGACUGCCGUCGUAAGAUGUGAGGAAGGUGGGGAUGACGUCAAAUCAGCACGGCCCUUACGUCCGGGGCUACACACGUGUUACAAUGGGGGGUACAGAAGGCGGCUACCUGGUGACAGGAUGCUAAUCCCAAAAACCUCUCUCAGUUCGGAUCGAAGUCUGCAACCCGACUUCGUGAAGCUGGAUUCGCUAGUAAUCGCGCAUCAGCCAUGGCGCGGUGAAUACGUUCCCGGGCCUUGUACACACCGCCCGUCAAGCCAUGAAAGCCGGGGGUACCUGAAGUACGUAACCGCAAGGAGCGUCCUAGGGUAAAACUGGUAAUUGGGG